CGGUCUGAUCAAGCGUCUCUAAGGGCAUUUGGUGGAUGCCUUGGCGUUGAGAGGCGAUGAAGGACGUGACACGCUGCGAUAAGCCAUGGGGAGCUGCGAGUAAGCUUUGAUCCGUGGAUUUCCGAAUGGGGAAACCCGGCCAUUUAGGUCAUCCCGCGAGGAAAGCGAACCUGGGGAACUGAAAUAUCUAAGUACCCAGAGGAAAGGACAUCAACCGAGACUCCGUUAGUAGUGACGAGCGAAAGCGGACCAGGCCAGUGGCUUGAUAGAAGAUAACCAGAAGCGUCUGGAAAGGCGCGCCAUAGUGGGUGAUAGCCCCGUAUGGGUAAUGCUUUCUUCAAGUCCUUGAGUAGGGCGGGACACGUGAAAUCCUGUCUGAACAUGGGGGGACCACCCUCCAAGCCUAAGUACUCCUCAACGACCGAUAGCGAACCAGUACCGUGAGGGAAAGGUGAAAAGCACCCCGAUGAGGGGAGUGAAAUAGACCUGAAACCGAAUGCCUACAAUCAGUCGGAGCCACAUUAAGUGGUGACGGCGUACCUUUUGUAUAAUGGGUCAGCGAGUUACUUUGACGAGCAAGCCUAAGCCGUUAGGCGUAAGCGAAGCGAAAGCGAGUCUGAAUAGGGCGUUUAGUUCGUUUGAGUAGACCCGAAACCGGGUGAUCUAGCCAUGGGCAGGUUGAAGGUACGGUAACACGUACUGGAGGACCGAACCCACUUCUGUUGAAAAAGGAGGGGAUGACCUGUGGCUAGGGGUGAAAGGCCAAUCAAACCCGGAGAUAGCUGGUUCUCUGCGAAAACUAUUUAGGUAGUGCGUCGUGUAUUACCGUCGGGGGUAGAGCACUGGAUGGGCUAGGGGGGCGCGAAGCCUUACCAAACCUAACCAAACUCCGAAUACCGGCGAGUACAGCACGGCAGACAGACUAUGGGUGCUAAGGUCCAUAGUCGAGAGGGAAACAGCCCAGACCUCCAGCUAAGGUCCCUAAAUUGUGGCUAAGUGGGAAAGGAUGUGGGAAGGCCAAGACAGCCAGGAGGUUGGCUUAGAAGCAGCCAUCCUUUAAAGAAAGCGUAACAGCUCACUGGUCUAGACAAGGCCGGCCUGCGCCGAAGAUGUAACGGGGCUAAAGCCACAUACCGAAGCUGAGGACGUGAUUUAUCACGUGGUAGCAGAGCGUUCUGUAGGCCUGCGAAGCGUAAUCGUGAGAUUGCGUGGAGGUAUCAGAAGUGAGAAUGCUGACAUGAGUAGCGAUAAAGAGUGUGAGAAACACUCUCGCCGUAAGCCCAAGGGUUCCUGCGCAAGGCUAAUCCGCGCAGGGUGAGUCGGCCCCUAAGACGAGGGCGAAAGCCGUAGUCGAUGGGAAUCAGGUUAAUAUUCCUGAACCUGUUGGUAGUGACGGAUGACGUAAGUUGUACAUGCUUAACGGAUUGUGUGUGCAGCGAAAUUGUCCCAGGAAAUAGCUCCAACAUUAAGACCGUACCCCAAACCGACACAGGUGGGCAGGUAGAGCAUACCGAGGCGCUUGAGAGAACGAUGUUGAAGGAACUCGGCAAAUUGCCCCCGUAACUUCGGGAGAAGGGGGACCUCCAUUUAGGCAACUAGAUGGAGGUGGCACAGACCAGGGGGUGGCGACUGUUUAUUAAAAACACAGGGCUCUGCGAAGUAGAUAAUACGACGUAUAGGGCCUGACGCCUGCCCGGUGCCGGAAGGUUAAGAGGAGGUGUGAGAGCUCCGAAUUGAAGCCCCGGUAAACGGCGGCCGUAACUAUAACGGUCCUAAGGUA
This 1780-nucleotide ribosomal RNA is filed under the name uncultured proteobacterium EBAC39D12. Its description in RNAcentral is "bacterial LSU rRNA". It matches the Rfam family "Bacterial large subunit ribosomal RNA", at positions 1 to 1958 of the family's 2925-position model. Lineage: Bacteria; Pseudomonadati; Pseudomonadota. The record is from RNAcentral.